AGUGAACGCUGGCGGUAGGCCUAACACAUGCAAGUCGAACGGCAGCACAGUAAGAGCUUGCUCUUACGGGUGGCGAGUGGCGGACGGGUGAGGAAUACAUCGGAAUCUACUUUUUCGUGGGGGAUAACGUAGGGAAACUUACGCUAAUACCGCAUACAACCUACGGGCGAAAGCAGGGGAUCUUCGGACCUUGCGCGAUUGAAUGAGCCGAUGUCGGAUUAGCUAGUUGGCGGGGUAAAGGCCCACCAAGGCGACGAUCCGUAGCUGGUCUGAGAGGAUGAUCAGCCACACUGGAACUGAGACACGGUCCAGACUCCUACGGGAGGCAGCAGUGGGGAAUAUUGGACAAUGGGCGCAAGCCUGAUCCAGCCAUACCGCGUGGGUGAAGAAGGCCUUCGGGUUGUAAAGCCCUUUUGUUGGGAAAGAAAAGCAGCAGGUUAAUACCCCGCUGUUCUGACGGUACCCAAAGAAUAAGCACCGGCUAACUUCGUG
This 492-nucleotide ribosomal RNA is filed under the name uncultured bacterium. RNAcentral describes it as "partial 16S ribosomal RNA". It matches the Rfam family "Bacterial small subunit ribosomal RNA", at positions 29 to 507 of the family's 1533-position model. The record is from RNAcentral.